Molecule: ribosomal RNA, 421 nt
Filed under: uncultured bacterium
Lineage: Bacteria
Description: partial 16S ribosomal RNA
Rfam family: Bacterial small subunit ribosomal RNA
Source: RNAcentral
AAUAUUGGACAAUGGGGGCAACCCUGAUCCAGCCAUGCCGCGGGUGUGAAGAAGGUCUUCGGUCUGUAAAGCACUUUAAGUAGGGAGGAAGGGCUUUAGGUUAAUACCCUGAAGUUUUGACGUUACCACCAGAAUCAGCACCUGCUAACUCUGAAACAGCAGCCGCGGUAAUACAGAGGGUGCAAGCGUUAAUCGGAAUUACUGGGCGUAAAGCGCGCGUAGGUGGUUCAGUAAGAUGGGUGUGAAAUCCCCGGGCUUAACCUGGGAACUGCUUUCAUAACUGCUGAGCUAGAGUACGGUAGAGGGUAGUGGAAUUUCCUGUAUAGCGGUGAAAUGCGUAGAUAUAGGAAGGAACCCCAGUGGCGAAGGCGACUACCUGGACUGAUACUGACACUGAGGUGCGAAAGCGUGGGGAGCAAAC